GAUGAACGCUGGCGGCGUGCCUAAUACAUGCAAGUCGAGCGAACAGACGAGGAGCUUGCUCCUCUGACGUUAGCGGCGGACGGGUGAGUAACACGUGGAUAACCUACCUAUAAGACUGGGAUAACUUCGGGAAACCGGAGCUAAUACCGGAUAACAUGUUGAACCGCAUGGUUCAACAGUGAAAGACGGUUUUGCUGUCACUUAUAGAUGGAUCCGCGUCGCAUUAGCUAGUUGGUAAGGUAACGGCUUACCAAGGCAACGAUGCGUAGCCGACCUGAGAGGGUGAUCGGCCACACUGGAACUGAGACACGGUCCAGUCGCCUACGGGAGGCAGCAGUAGGGAAUCUUCCGCAAUGGGCGAAAGCCUGACGGAGCAACGCCGCGUGAGUGAAGAAGGUCUUCGGAUCGUAAAACUCUGUUAUUAGGGAAGAACAAAUGUGUAAGUAACUAUGCACGUCUUGACGGUACCUAAUCAGAAAGCCACGGCUAACUACGUG
Molecule: ribosomal RNA, 497 nt
Filed under: uncultured bacterium
Lineage: Bacteria
Description: partial 16S ribosomal RNA
Rfam family: Bacterial small subunit ribosomal RNA
Source: RNAcentral